Punica granatum (pomegranate) is the source of this 939-nucleotide non-coding RNA. Lineage: Eukaryota; Viridiplantae; Streptophyta; Magnoliopsida; Myrtales; Lythraceae. The record is from RefSeq and is a predicted model, not a curated record.
UUCAUGGAAUGAAUCUCCAUCGGGUCAAUUGCUACCUUGUCUUUAAAGUGAAAGCUCUGAUGGGGUCAGAAUGAUGCUUAAAGCGUACAAAAGGUAUCGGCUGCUGGGGCCAUGGAGCCGUGACAUCCAACAAAAACUCCUCCUUUACUUUAUCCUGUGCUUUCUUCACAUCAUGAAAGCAAAAAGUGCAGUGCGCUUUUCUCCACUCGAUCAAAGUUCUUAGAAUAUGUAUCUUUGACGAUCCGGAGAUUUUUCCUGAUGGUACAAUAAGUUAAGAGGACAGAAGGAUCCGAACUUCUUUUGCAACAAAGUUAAUUAGCUCAGCAGUUUGUGUUCUUCGAAUUGAAUAGCUCUGUGAACGAUGUGAAACACUAAAAUCGUCGAACCAGUGCAUGCUAAGUACAUCUUUUUAACUCUCUGGACCAUUUCUUUCUCCUACCUACUCUUUUAAGAAAUAUCAACUUGCGGUGUGCAGGGCCAAUUCAAUGCGAGAUACAUUCAAUACAGAAUAUAUAUUUACUCUAAGGAUGGGAACAAUUAGGCAUGAUAUAGCUCACUGUAAGCUGGUAUUGCUUCUCUAUAUUUUCCGAUGAUAUGCGAUGGGUGCUUCUUUGUGCAAUUUUAGAGUUGAAGAACUGCUGGUGAGGAACUUUUCUCAACUUAUCCAUGGAUUAUAUUGUUUCCUUCAGCCAUUUGCAUAUUUUGGCAUUACAGGGGGGAGAAAAAAAAAGAAAAAAAGGAGAGGGUCUUGCUUUUUAUUGUCCGAGGCGACGACUAAGCAUGGAUCAAGGGUGAGAGAUUCACCACGAUAUGGAUGUGUGAGUUGUCUUUCACUCAUUUCCGACUUAUGUUAUCUUUCAUCCGCCUGAGUUUUUGUACACUUAUUCGCGUUGCAAGAUUCGUGAGAUAAUGACACUGUUGGCAUCUUGAUUUGCAGCA